RNA transcript from Corapipo altera (White-ruffed manakin), 2256 nucleotides. RefSeq lists it as uncharacterized. Lineage: Eukaryota; Metazoa; Chordata; Aves; Passeriformes; Pipridae. The transcript has 5 exons. The record is from RefSeq and is a predicted model, not a curated record.
AUAGCAUUUUGGAUGCAAGUAAUUUUCUCCACAUAGUCUUGUCUCCUUGUGCCCACACUGUAAGAGUAUUCGUGUGCUUCAAGUACAUGUUCCUUCCUUUCAAAGCCUUAACACACCAUCAGCUUUCUUUACAGGUUGGAGGACUGUGACUAAUUUUCUUCCAGAGCCCAAUAACAUCUCUCCUGAGCUGGACUACAGAGCAAACCAAGACACCCAGAGCACUGACCGCAUGCUGUCCACUCCUAGGAAGUGCUCUGCCCACUGUCUAGGGGAAAGCUGCAAGGCACCUGCUCAAAGUUCAGCCCACAGACAACAAAGACCCACACUGUAGCUCAGUCUGCUCUCCCCAGCUAAAAAGGUAUGAAAGGUAAACAAGAGCAAAAAUAUGCAGAUAAUUUACAUCCUCUCUUCAAUCACACAGCACACAGAGGUGUGCUUCCCCCCGCACAAGGUGCUUUGGAUAUUACAGCUCAGAUCAAUGCAACAGCCCACAGGACAAACUUGCCUUUGCUGCAAUUUCAGAACCCAGCGAGGCGUUUCACACCGUUCUAUACUUACCUGUGAGAAGACACACAUGCAGAAGGACAGAGAAGAGGCAGCUAGACUCAAGGUCUGCAAUUCUCUCAGGCUGAGCCCUCUUUCACCUCCAGGAAGUGAGGGGAAGGCUGCUCCCUGCCAAGAAAGUGCAGUCAGGUUUCUGGCACACACUGGGCAGGCAGAGGGCUUGUGUCUAAGGUUGGCAGGAGUGAUGCUUCUUCAAGUGCACAUGGUGCCUCCAGUCAGUCAUCACUUGAAGAAGUCACAGAAGAGGAGAGAUGGGCAGCAGAUUAAAUGUUUGCAAGGAAAGCAGAAUAAUGUGCAAAAACAAGAUGAAACAGAUGUGUCAUUACGAUUCAGACAGAAAUGUAAAUCAGCUGAAGACAUCAGAACAAAAUGCCUUAACUGCCUGUCUCGUGGCUGCAGGGAUGGCUGUGGUUACAGCAGACAGAGGAAAAUCCAUUGAGACGUGUGCUUAUCUAUCAAUUGUACCAGCUGUUUCUGGUAUGCAGCAACUGACUGACCACAGUAAGGAAACACGGAUGUAAUCAGUUAGCAAACUGCUCCUUUCUCAGCAAGGAUGAUAAGGAUUGUUGGCAAACCCACAGAGAGUUACGGGAAUAGAGGAAUUGGUGCGCUGAAGUCACUUCCUAUCACCCGGGAGUCCCUGGGCUCAGAGCAUUGUUUGCUUUCCUAGUAUGGAUCUUGGUGUUUGUCUGCACUAGUUCAGAUCUAUAAGUGCACUCACCCUGUCCCAGCACACAGAACCCACUCAGAGAGAUUGCCAACGCAAUCUUCUGUCUACCUCUGUGGAAAGGAUUCAGACUGCCUGUGAGCAGAGAGAGUGAUUCUUUACCACAUCUUUACACCGGCAAAACACCUUUUGCAGAGGUAUUUGCAAAACCAGGCAUGACUUAAUCAAUUCUGGGAAGAGGCAUAUGCCAACAGAAACACUCUUUUGCCAACACAAACUGUGCUGCCACUAGAGGAGUAUCGGCAAUCCCACUCUUGUCAGCGUGGGGCCUCCACUUCACUGAUUAGGUGCUGUACGGGUGGACAGUGCAGGAGGUUCCCAGCCAGUGAGGUCAGUGCUGAGGUGAGCCCCUUCUCCCUCAUCUCAAGAGGAAGCGGUGGCUAUUUCAGCUGCACCUGCAUCAACAGAGAAUUUACAGAAACUAGAGGUGAGCUCCUGAAUGCGCAGCUGGUUACUGUUGCAGUCUGUAGAUGGGAAAAUGGUCUGCUGCAUUGUACGUGGUCAACACAGAUUUGAUGAUACCUUGGCAGUAUCUGGUGUCUUCUCUGAGGUCUUGACAGCCAACUCAAAGAAGGCUUCUGCUACAGCCCUGCAUACAACUAAUUGCAGCCUAGCACUGAGGCCUGCUGGCUGCGAACAGGGAACCAGUACGUUAAUCAGCCUGUGCUCCCCUGGAAUUUGUACACAAUCAGAGACCUCCACAAUGCUUCCGAAUCGGUUCCAGGAGGAAGGUUGGGAGAAAAGGCUCUGCUGGCCCCAAGGGACUGGCAAUGGGCAAAAGGCACCUUUCACCUAGACGUGGGGAAUUUAUCACUGGCAUGGAGUUGGCAGUGGGUGAAAGCCCUGUUUUGUUACUGCUGGCAAACGUGUCGGCAGCUUCCUGUGGGUUCGAAGCGGCUAGGAGCCUAUCAGUCAGUCCCCGAUAACUCUCCUGCCUGCUUUGCCAGGGAGGUGCUGGAGGACUG